RNAcentral lists this long non-coding RNA (18688 nucleotides) under Arabidopsis lyrata. RNAcentral describes it as "long non-coding RNA (ALYR_LNC001785)". The stretch from base 18575 to 18647 matches the Rfam family "tRNA". The record is from RNAcentral. Lineage: Eukaryota; Viridiplantae; Streptophyta; Magnoliopsida; Brassicales; Brassicaceae.
ACGUGGUUAUAACAAACAAACAAAAAACAAUUCCUCUGGAUUAUACAAGACUAUUCUAGUAUUCUCCAAUAGAGCUAGAUCUAUGUCCAAUCCCGGCUUGGAAUAAACCACAGAAAGGAUAACCGAUUGUUCGGUUUUCAUGCUCGCCAUAUGCUUUCUAAUGUAACCUGUCCCGAUCGAAGAUUGAACACUAAUUCUCAAUGUUACGAUGCUUCACCUGUUAUUGGUAAACUCUCCGCUUAGGUUUCUUCUUAAUUAGUCCCUUUUUUUCUCGACUCAAAACAGAUAGAGUCGACUUUAGUUAGGAAAAUGUUCGACUGAUUGUGAGAUUCGGUUAAAUAUAAAGGAAUAUUGUUACUUUCCCUGUUCAAGAGGAAUAUCGUUUUCUAAAACCUCAUGAAUAAUACUUGGUAACAUUAGCGAUUCAUGAGAAAGUGUCAUGUUUUAUUUGAUUAGCGAUUCAUGAGAAAGUGUCAUGUUUUAUUUGAUUAUACAGAAACAAAGUUUACAAGUUAUUUCUCUCAGAAGUUGAUGAUCCCCUUGUUGAAUACUUUAUUGCCUUCAAAAAGACACAGUUACUUUUCUAAAGAUCAGUUCUUCGUCUGUUAUGUCAAAUAGCCAGAAUUCGGAGUGUACAACUUACAAGGAUUUCUAGCUAUGAAUCCAAUCCACAAAAUACAAGUUAUUCAAUUUUUUCCAAGUUUUAAUAACAAUCAAGCUUCUAUAAGACAAUCAUAAAUAGAUAAAAUAAGCAAUUCAGCAUUAAUAUGCAACUCAGUAAUUUGCGAUUGGUUUAUGAAUAGAACUUAUAAAAUUUGUUAAAAUAAGAGUUGCAGGUUUUGAGAAAAGAAUCUCUGAUGCAUUAGAAAGAAAUCGAAAUGGCCUUUAAAUAGCCUUACAACAACUGAAAUGAGAAAACUAAGGAAACAGAUUUGAACGUGGCUUAGUUCCUACGAUUACGCCUUAUUGAUUGACUCAACAUCACUAACUAAUAGUGACUUAGUCUUUGAUGACUUAUUCAACUCCAACAAAACCCUCCCUUAAACUGAACAUGUUGGAUCAACAUUCAGUUUAAACUCCUUGUGCUUGCAUUCCCAGAAGACUUCGCAGUUUAACAAAGGUCUCGAGCUUCACCGGCUUUGUCAUAACAUCUGCAACUUGUUCUCCCGUUCCAACGAACACUAGCUUCACCACUUCUUGAUUUGUAAGAUCACGCAAAUAGUGAUAUUUCACGUCGAUGUGCUUGGUGCGCCUAUGCAUCACCGGAUUCUUUGACAGCUUAAUUGAUGAAGUGUUAUCACAAUAAAUCUCCAUACACUUACACUCUUCGCUGAAGUUCUGCUCCAAGACUCCUUUAAACCAAACGCAAUGACACGCACAUGAAGUUGCAGCAACAUACUCCGCUUCAGUAGACGAUAAAGUCACCACCUCUUGUUUCCUUGAACUCCAACAUACUGCAGCUCCAUUUAGUAAAAACACAUAACCAGAAGUGCUUCUCCGAUCAUCAGUGUCUCCGGCAUAGUCGCUGUCUGUGUAUGCCUCCACUUUCAGCUCAGAACCUGCCUUAUAAAAAAUACCAAGCUCCAAAGUACCUUUCAGAUAUCUCAAAGCCCUCUUUGCCGCCAACAUAUGUUCUUCCCUUGGUUUUGACAUGUAACGAGAGAUCAAACAUACAACAUACAUCAUGUCAGGCCUUGUCACUGUAAGAUACAUUAGGCACCCAACAAUCUGUUUGUAAAGAGUGGCAUCUACUUCUUCUCCUCCGCCUUCUUUUGUGAGUUUAGCUCCGGGAACAAUCGGAUUUUUGACCGGAUUACAAUCCGCCAUUUUAAACCUUUCUAACACUUCUUGAGCAUACUUCUUCUGGCAUAAAUGAAUUCCAGCGUGACUUUGACGAACUUCCACACCAAGAAAGAACCUCAUUAAGCCGAGAUCAGUCAUCUCAAACUCUUGCUUCAUUGACUUUUUGAACUCUUCAAGCAACACUUCAUCAUUCCCAGCAAAAAUUAAAUCAUCAACAUAGAUACUUACCAUGAUAUACUUUUCACCUUCUCUUUUGAUGAAUAAGGUAUGAUCAUGGCUGCUUCUGUUGAAUCCUGCUUGCUUGAAGUACCCCUCAAUCCGACUAAACCAGGCUCUAGGAGCUUGUUUUAACCCGUAUAGCGCCUUUUUUAACCGAUACACCUUGUCUUCCUCACCUUUUUUGACAAAUCCUUCUGGCUGGUCCACAUACACCACUUCCUUCAAUUCUCCAUAAAGAAAAGCACUUUUUACGUCUAAUUGGUACACCUUCCAUCCUCUUUGCGCAGACACAGCCAAAAGAAUUCGAAUUGUAUCCCAACGAGCUACCGGAGCAAAGACUUCAUCAUAGUCAAUGCCUUCUUCUUGAGCAUAACCUUUCACGACCAAACGCGCCUUAUAUUUAUCGACUUUUCCAUCCUCAUUCAGCUUGGUUUUGAAAACCCAUUUGACUCCAAUCCUUUUGGCCUCAGCCGGUAAUCUUACAAGAUCCCAAGUAUCAUUCUUCUCAAUGGACUGAAUUUCGCUUCUCAUUGCCUCCAUCCACUUCUCUUCUUUACUUGCUUCUGUAAACUGGACUGGAUCACCAUGAGAUAAAAACAGAGCCAUCGCCAACUCUGCUUCAGCCUCUCCAUCCGAGAUCCUCUCCCCACUUUCAUAGUCUUGCAUCCAAAUAGGUGCCCUUCUCUCUCGUUGCUCACGUAUCUCUGGCUGCGGAGAAUUGAGAUUUUCAACAUUGAGAUGCUCCUCGAUUUCACCCUCUUCUUCGAUCUCUUCUGCGCCAUCUUCUCUGUUUUGAUCUUCUUCUUCUCCCCAAUCUAAGACAUCACUGAGACCUUUCUCAUCUGCGCUCCAAUCCCACUUCUCCUCCUCUUCAAAAAUCACAUCUCGGCUAGUGACUACUGUUUUGGAGAUUGGAUCAUAGAGUCGAUAUGCUUUCGAUUCCUCACUUACACCAAGAAGAAUGCAUUUUCGGCUUCUGCUAUCAAGUUUUAUUCUUCGCUGCUCUGGUACGUGUGCGUGGCCGAUGCAACCGAACACUCUGAAAUAAUUCACGCUCGGUUUUAUCCCACUCCAGCAUUCUUCAGGCACCAUGUCUUUCACCGCACUUGUCACACUUCUGUUCAACACAUGACAUGUCCACUUUGCAGCCUCAGGCCAAAAACGCUUUGGCAUACUCUUCUCCGUAAGCAAGCAUCGGACCAUAUUCAUUAUUGUGCGAUUUCUUCUUUCGGCGACACCAUUUUGUUGUGGCGUGUAGGCUGCGGUUAACUGUCUCUUAAUCCCAUUUUCUUCACAAAACUGAUUGAACACAUUUGAGGUGAACUCUCCUCCCCUAUCAGUCCUCAAACAACCAAUUUCUGUUCCUGAUUCUUUCUCCACAAGAGCUUUAAAAAUCUUGAAAGUAUCAAACGCCUCAUUUUUUUCAGAGAGAAGGUAGAUCCAACUUUUGCGGCUAAAGUCAUCAAUCAAAAGGAAGAUGUACCUUUUUCCACUGUGAGAGGUUGGAGAAAUAGGGCCGCAUAAGUCUGCAUGAAUGAGCUUUAGCUUCUCCGCAGCUCUCCAUUGGCUCUUCUUUGGUAUAGUUUCUCGGUGUUGCUUUCCGAUGUUACAGACUUCGCAAACCUUAGGGAUUUCUUUCAUUGGAGGUAGACCAUUUACCAGUUUCUUGUCAUGCAUACUCUGGAUAGAUGUGUUAUUGAGAUGUCCGUAACGCUUGUGCCAGAGGGUCGCCACUUCAUCUUCUUCGAUUUUCAGACAUUGAUUGGGAUCGGUUUUCAUAAUAGCUGACACAAUGAACAUGCGAUUUGCAGUCAUUUUUGUGCUCACAAUCAAACCUCUGCGAGGAUGAUAGAUCUUACACACUCCUUUGCUAAUCAGAACAUCCACACCCUUUUCUUGUAAUUGCCCAACACUCAACAGAUUAUUAGUCAGGUUUGGAACAAAGAACACGUCACUUACAAUUUGAGUCACUCCGUCAACCUCAAAUUUGACGUCUCCUUUUCCCACAACCUCCAUUCUUGAACUGUUGCCCAAUCUCACCGCAUGCCUGAAACUAUCAUCGAUCUCCAUGAACCAUUCUUUAUUUCCCGUCAUGUGAUUGGAACAUCCCGAAUCCAGAAACCACAGACCACUUUUCUUCGUUUCUUGAGUCUCUGUUUGCGCCAUUAGAAGCAAUGCCUCUCCUUCAUCGAACUCAGCAUAGUUUGCUUCCUUUUCAGCGGUUGGACACUCGUAUUGAAAAUGUCCCAGUUUGUGACAUCUAAAACAUUCAAUGGUAGCUUUGUCGAAACUUGGUCUGGUUCCUCCUCUUCCUCUUGACACGUUGCUACCUCCUCUUCUACCAUUGUAGCCCCUACCUCUUCCUCGUCCAGAGUUGUCGUACUCAACUUUUAGUACUUGCUCUUCGACUCCCCUACGUCGUAUCUUCUGUUCGUGAACAAGCAGUGAGCUGUGUAGCCCGUCGACAGUCAUCUGGUCAAUGUCCUUUGAUUCUUCUAUAGAGCACACGACAUAGUUAAAAUUCUCCGUUAGUGUUCGAAGAAUUUUUUCAACGAUCUUCACAUCUUCCAUGUUUUCUCCGCAGUUCCGCAUAUCGUUUGAUGUCACCAUGACUCUCCCGAAAUAAUCUGUCACUGUUUCUCCCACCUUCAUCUCUAAGGUUUCGAAAACUCUACGAAGUCUCUGUAGCUGCGCACGUUUCACCCUUUCAUUGCCUUGAUACUUGAUUUUCAUGGAAUCCCAUAAAAGCUUAGCGGUCUCCUUUUGAGUGAUGGUCUUCAAGAUCGACUUGUCAAUGGACUGGAAGAGAUAGUUCUUUGCCUUCAAGUCCUUUAGCCUUGCUUCAUCUAACACCUUCUGUUGUGCUGCGGACAGCACUUCUCCUUCUCCGGGUUCCUUAAAACCAGGUUGAAUCACACACCAAUACUCCUUUGAACGCAACAGGUUCUCCAUUAGUAAACUCCAAUGGUCGUAAUCUCCAUCGAAUUUUGGCACACACGGGGCAUUGAAGUUACUUGAUUCAGCUGCCAUCUCUCACACCGAUUUCUUUUCUCACACUCACUCAAAAUACACACUCGUUUCUCACUCCGUCAGAUCCCUUUUGAGAGGGCUCUGAUACCACAAUGUUAAAAUAAGAGUUGCAGGUUUUGAGAAAAGAAUCUCUGAUGCAUUAGAAAGAAAUCGAAAUGGCCUUUAAAUAGCCUUACAACAACUGAAAUGAGAAAACUAAGGAAACAGAUUUGAACGUGGCUUAGUUCCUACGAUUACGCCUUAUUGAUUGACUCAACAUCACUAACUAAUAGUGACUUAGUCUUUGAUGACUUAUUCAACUCCAACAAAAUUAUUGACUCAAAGAAUUUCAUGAUAAGAAAAGGCACUCAGAAUGAGUAGGAGGUAUAUAUUCAUCAUAAAAUCAGAUGACAAUAAAACAAUCCUCAUCAUGCCUUAAUCUUUAAUUUUCCAAAAUCACAAAUCAAAUAACUUUGAAAAACAUUUACCAGAAAAAUCUGAUAAGAUUGAACACAAUAAAAGGAUUCCUCUCAGACAAAUGCCUCGUUUGUCCCCAUGAUUUAAUGAAUGGAUUUCAUCGGACUCGUCAUCUGUGUAUUCAUCACUGAGAAACCCUUUUCUUCAAAAUUCGUUAAUCUAAGAUCAAGCAUAAAAAAAAAAAACAGAACAAAUCCUAGACUAAUUAUAUCAAAUCGAAAACAGAUUGAAAAAUAAACAAAACUUCAAAAAGAAUUAAGAGAGCCAAAGAUUAACAUUUGGGUUGAACUCGGAGAUCGGAGAGGACUAAUGAUUAUAAACGGCGGAGAGAGGAGUAUUUAUAAGGAGCCAAACUAGGGUUAGGGUUUUAAGCCGCCCCCCUUACUUUUAGACGACAUGAAGUUUAGUUAUCAAUUUUUGAAACAGCGUGUAGUCUUCUUCCUAUUUUGAAACGCCACCCAUUGCGAAUGUGAAUACCCGAAAAGGAAGUCACGAGUAAAUUUUUUACACUAAACAAACAACAUGAAGGCUAAUUUUAUUUUUGGGAAAAUUCCCAAAAAAAACCCAAAGUAAUUUUUAUUUGGACGUUUAAUACCCAAUUGUUUUGGAUUGGAAUAAAAAUACCUCAUUUAAUAAAACCUAGUCUAAAAAUUCCUUAUGUUUGACUUGUUGGUGGAUUCAAACGCGUGAUUUAACAUCCGUUAACAGUCGUUACGGAAUCCAUAAAUACCGUCAAAGUUCAACCCCGCGUGUUUAAACAGAUAUAUACAAUCUCUUUAUAUGUUACCACAAAUAUUUUCGCCUAGUCUGGUGGUGAUUAGCCCUUUAUGUUAUCCUUAGCGUCCGGGUUCGAUUCCCCCUCUCCCAACUUUUUUUUUUUUUUUUUUUCCCGGCUUCUCGCCUUCUUCUUCCGCUAAACAUUGCAACGCAAAUCUAGGGUUUUUUUUUUUUUUUUACUUUGUGAAUUCUAGAUCUAUGUGUUCUGUAAUUAGAUCGUUGUUUCCUUAUCAUCAAUCCUUUGUUAUGUGCUCUAAUUUUGGAGAAAAAGUUUGAAACUUUCAUGUACAUAUGGCCACUAGAGAAAGCAAAUUGGAGAAAGUUAAGAGAAUAAUCGAGCAAGUCGACGUGAAUCGCGAUGGUGGGUUUAAGUGAGAAGAGAUGGCGACGGACUGCGACGGAGAUUUGGGUUAAAUGUGGAGGAAGGAGAAAUCGUGGAUGAGAACAAAAAAAAAAAUCAAUGGUGGGUAAUGAGGAGGAUCGAACCCGAGUUCAAUGGGUGACAUAACACACCAGUAACCACAAGACUAAAGUAAUAUAAUCGUAAGCUUAGUACACAGACAUAUAUAUAUUUAUAAACAUAGGGAUUGAAAAAUUUAACACCGGUUAUUGAUUCCGUAACGGCUGUUAACGGACGUUAAAUCACGGGUUUGAAUCCACCAACAAGUCAAACAUAAGGAAUUUUUAGACUAAAUUUUAUUAAAUGAGGUAUUUUUAUUCCAAUCCAAAACAAUUGGGUAUUAAACGUCCAAAUAAAAAUUACUUUGGGUUUUUUUGGGGAAUUUUCCCUUUUAUUUUUACAAAUUAAUACUUAUAUUUUUUUAUAUAUUUUUUUCAAUCACUUAAGAAAGGGAACGAUCAAAUUCAUUUUAAAUAACUGUGUUCUAAUUUUUAGGUUAAGGUAAUUGAAAAAGUGGCAUGAGUCUUACUUAGUAAAACCCUAAACCCUAUUUACAUAUUCAUCGGCGAGUUUAACUGUUAAUGUCGUCUCCAUUGACAUCUCCGACCUCCACGAACAACGAAUAGCCAUUUGUAAUCCUACAGUUGUCGUCACUUUCUGAUGAUAUCUUAGUGAGCUGCUUUGCCCGCGUUUUGAGAUUGUACUAUCCGACUUUCUCCUGAGUUUCCAAAAACUUUCGAUCACUCAUUACUUCACCGGAACUUUACUAGAAUCAGUCACUCUUAGGUCAUACAGAGACUUGUCUCUAUGUCUUCGUUAGAAAUUAAUAAUUAAAUAUGUAAUUAAAUUCGUCGAAAAUGGUGGUUGGAAAAUGAGAUGUUUUCUUGUAGUAAACACAUCAAGGAAGCAAGUGUGACAUCGUGUUCCCAGCCGACUCUCCGUAUUUUCGCAUUUUAACAAAGAAUUUCCUUUACGAAGCUUGAUCCUAUAAACCAUUUAUUAUUACACAAGAGAAGUAUUUCUACCCUUGGUCUAAUUCCAAUCAACCAUUGUACUGGUUUAAUCGUCUUUGUCCCUUAUACUUUAGAUCGAUCAUUCACUCAGUCAAAUUAUGCAAAUUGUUCGCUUAACCAAUAUAAGUCUAACGAUUACAUAUUUUUUAUCCUUGUCCAAUGGUCAAUUCCCAACGUCUAGCUUAACUAAUAACUUAGAUUCUUUUACAUAGACCUGCGAGAAAUGACCGGGCCGAGAACUCCGAACCGUUCUGAACCGAGAUUUUUGGUUUCGGUUUAGUUUCGGUUAGGAGAGCUGAACCAAUCGGAAGCUUUGUAAAUUUUGUUGGGUUAACCGACAUUUUCGGUUCAGUUCUCAUAACCGAGAUCUUCUUCUUCUUCCUCUUCUUUUGUCAGAUCUGCUAUUCGUAUCAACCACCGUCAAGCUUCAUCUGAUUUUGUAUCGGCCGCCGUCAAGCUUCGUCUGUUUUAGGUCUUCGUCAAGCUUCAUUUGUUUUUUUCUAAACUUUACUGGGCUUUGUCCAGGCCAAACAUUCUUCUUUUUCGCAAGCCCAUUUAUCGAAACAAAACCAAAUUAACCAAUUUUAACCAAGGAAAUCCAAAAUUUUGGUUAUUUUCGGUAGGAUUUGAUUAACCGAAAAAACUGAGAUUCAAACCGAUUAUUUAUUCGGUUAAUUUCAGCAUGUACAUUUCAAUAACCAAAAUAAACCGUAAACCAAAAUUAACCGGCCCGGUUUGGUUCGGUUAACCAAAUCUGCAGGCCUUGGUUUACAUACCUUGGCCAACAUGCGAAUUUGUUUCUUCUUCGAUCCGUCUAUUGAUCCUCUUUGUUAAUCCAUUUGUUGCUUUAUUAAUUCGUACAUCGAUUCGCAUCCGAUCAUAUAUUGAUGGACCAAUCUUUAUCGUUACUUAGUCAUACAACCAACCAACCCCAUUGGCUAAGUACCAUGAUAUAGAUUGGGGAUCGAACGUCUUCCUUGAUUCACGGUGUCCGAAUCAAGCUCUUGACUCAUUGGUCCAUCCGUCCUCCAAACGUACACAUGUAAAUGCAUGUAAGCAAGUUAAGCAAAAGAAACAAAAAAGAUAGCAAGUGAACAAGUUAAUGAUGUAAGUAAAGAAUCAAGCAAUGAAUCAAGGAAGCAAAUAUGCAUGAAUGUAAGAAUCUAAGCAUACAUGUAUACAAUGUGUUGGGAGAUUCAAGAAAUCAACCUAGAUCGUGCUAUUCAAGGAACCAUAUAUAUAUUCUCUUCGUUUCCGUAUGUAGUGUAAACUCUGAUUUUUCUGGUACGUACCUGCUCACUCACUAUAGAUAUUUGAAAAGUCUAUUAGUUAUGAAUUAUGAUAAUAUAUAAGAACAGAAGAGGCAAUAACUUCAAGUUAUAAGAGAUAAAUCGACAUACUAAACCGAAAAAAGGAUUGAAGACAUACCUGGGAAAAUAAUUAAACUUAUAAAACUAGAAGAUAACUUACAGUUCUUUUGAAUCGCUCCUGUUCUUGGCAGCUCUCUGUAACUACAUGUCUUGUUUUCACGGAUUAAACGGAAAAGAGGACACACCAGUACCGACAUUAGGAAAAUUGAAUAAACGAAUCACUAAUAUGUAGUAAUAGAGGAAUUUUAACUUACAAGUGGGAUGCAAAGGCUUAGCGCGACUCAUGGCCAGCUUGUUGAUCGUAUAAUUUAGAGAUGCAAGUUCUUCAAACGAUUCUUGCUUUGGCACUGCUUAUAGGUUCAAGAAAAUAAAUGUACAAACUUAUAAAAUUCUGUUUAGUUUACCUCGAUUUCUCUCACUAAUUAGUGGGUCAAGAAGAGUUUAAACAAUAGUACCUUAUUUGAUGACAACUCUCUUCUCUUGUUAUAUUUUUGCAAGCUUAUUAUUCCCUGUGGAAACACACAUAUAUAUUAACUAAAAUCCCGACGCGAAAUGUCAACGAUCGGAACAAGAGCAUUAAAUUUACCUGAAAGCAAAGGACAUUAACAUGUUCAAGUCCAUGUGCAACCUACAAGACUAGAAACAAGUUAUACCAAGAUUGUCGUGACCAUCAAUAUACUUCUGCGACUCUAGUGGAAAAAUAUACCUGAAACUGCAUAUGUUCCGAUCAUGAACUUAAUGAAAAUUCUCUUCUCUUGUACUAAUUUUCAAGCAUCUUCCCUGUUGAAAUGCACAUUUAUUUUGAAUGACCAGAUCAUAGUAGAAACAAGAUUAAAUUUAGAUACCUUGAUGCAUUCAUGUUCCUCAUACUAAAACCACGUCCUUCUCUGCUGCUAAAUGUUGUAUUGAUCCCCAAUACCUUGAAAACUUAUUAAGGAAAUCCAAUAGAAACAACAGAAGUUCAUCACCAUAUUUAUCACCAAGAUUUUUGACUUAGUGCAGGAGAAACAAAGAUAAAUUUCUAAGAAAGAUCAAGUUGCAACCUGGAGUUGAAAAUUGUCCCAAGGAAAAUAGAUGGAAGGAAGCAGGGCCCAUUUCUUCUCUUGGAGACCUUGUCUUUCACAGUGCGAGGGUGAAAGAAAUGGGGAUAACUGGACCUUUCAAAAUCAUAUUUCACAGUCAAACAAAACAAAACAAAAAUUCUCACUUUUGCAGUUAAGGAAAAAACAAUUGUGUGAAAAAUGGUAUUUUGAAGGGAAUUUUGAUGGCAAACACUUAAAAAGCAUGAUUAGUCUUACUUUCCAGCUUAACCACGUAAGUAACAUUUCCAAUUAUCAAACGGAAUAGAAUGGUGCUAGUGAAGUCACAAGGGCAAGGGCUCCUUUCUUCUUCCUUCCAAAAUUUUAUCACAAACUUUAAUUUCUUUCACACUGAAACAGUGUGAGUAAUACUAACAACCACAAUUGAGUCAAAUAACUGGUCACAUUAGGGGUUUAUUGGCUUAUAUAGUUGCUCAUAUCGCAUAUAGAGCCUCUCCUUGUUCUCCUCAAACUUGGAAAUAGUGUCUGCCAAGCAGAAACACAUGUUCAUUAGUUUUAGUAAUAUCCCACCAAAGUCCAAACACACUACUGAUAUUAAGAGUGAGAGAUGACUAAACUAAAGGAAAACUGAAAGUUUUACCUUUUAAACAUUGUAGAUGAAGCUCCUCAAACUUGGCAGCUUCAUAUUUGCAGUAGUACCUAAUUUGAUGACAUCUCUCUUCUCUUGUUCUAUUUUUGCAAGCUUAUUUCCUGUGGAAAACACACAUAUAUUAACUAAACUUCAGACGCUAAAUGUCAACGAUCGGAUUAGAUUCGGAACAAGAACAUUAAAUUUACCUGAAAGCAAAAGACAUUAAUAUGUUCAAGUCCAUGUGCAACCUACAAGACUAGAAACAAGUUUUACCAAGAUUGUCGUGACCAUCAAUCUACUUCUGAGACUGUAGUGGAAAAAUAUACCUGAAACUGCAUAUGUUCCGAUCAUGAACUUAAUGAAAAUUCUCUUCUCUUGUACUAAUUCCCUGUUGAAAUGCACAUUUAUUAACUAAAUCCGAGAUACAAAAAUAUGAAUGACCAGAUCAUAGUAGAAACAAGAUUAUUAAAUUUAGAUACCUUGAUGCAUUCAUGUUCCCCAUACUAAAACCACAUCGUUCUCUGCUGCUAAAUGUUGUAUUGAUCCCCACUACCUUGAAAACUUAUUAAGGAAAUCCAAUAGAAACAACAGAAGUUCCCCACCAUAUUUAGCACAGAGAUUUUUUACUUACUGCAGGAGAAACAAAUAUAAACUAUAAGAAAUAUCAAGUUGCAACCUGAAAUUUGUUCCAAGGAAAAUAGAUGCCAGGAGGCAGAACCCAUAUUCUUCUCUUGGAGAUAACUGGACCUUCCAAAAUCUUAUAUCACAAUCAAACAAAACAAAAAUGAAAAUCAAGUAAAUUCUCAUUUUUGCAGUUUUAAGGAAAACAAAUUCUUUGUGUGAAAAAUGAUAUUUUGAAGGGAAUUUUGAUGGCAGCCACUAAUAAAGCAUGAUCAGUCUUACUUACCAGUUUAACCACCCCAUAAGUAACAUGUCCAAUUAUCAGAAGGAAUAGAUUGGUGCUAGUGCAGUCACAAGGGCUCUAACAAAACAAGACUGCAGCCAAAAUCAGCUCCUUUCUUCUUCCUUGCAAAAUUUAAUAAAUCACAAACUUUAAUUUAUUUCACUGAAACAGUGCUAAGUAUUUCUGUCUACCAGGUGAAGAAAGUAAGAAACAAAACCAACCUAUAAUGUGAGCAAUGCUAACAACCACAAUUGAGCCAUAUAAUGCUCUGUAAACUGAGCCACUGGUCUGCAGAAAAUUUAACACUAUUUUUGUUAGCAAUUUGUCUUCACUUUGAAACGAAAUUUAUGCAAUGACCAGCAAGCUGAAUAAGCAUGUAAGAUACUUUGGAGACAUACAACUAGACAACCAUUCAUAAAGGACAAGAUGUUCAUGAAAUUCCAAGUAAUGAAAGCGACUGAAGAAAGGGAAAAGCUAGUAAGAUAGCAAAGUCAUAGGCUUUUAAAAGAAUGUAGACAAGUGAUAAUUGUUGGACUACAUAGUUUCGAACUAACUUAAAAAAACGCCUAGCUGAUCAACGUAAGAUGUUUCUUUACCUUUAGAGUCAAAUGAAGCGAAGUUAAUCUUUCACUCAUCCAGAAAAUAGCCAAGAGUUUUCCUCAAUAUGCUGAAAUUUUUGGCAUUCUACACCCCGAGAUUUCACAUUCUGUCAUAUAACAAAAAAUAGAGGAUAGGUGUAUAUCUGUGAGGCUAUUAUUUACCCGCUUCUUUUUUCUUCAGCGUUAUUCCAAUUGAGCAAGAUGUUGUGUACAGAAGCUCUCUUGUUUGGAUAUCAUUGUGUUUUCCUUUUCCCUACAUGUUAUUUUACAAGGGGAAGUGCGUACGUGUGCCAUCUCAUUAACAGUGGUCUCAUAAGGGGUUUGUUGGCUUACUUAGUUUCUCAUAUCGCAUAUAGACCUCACCAUGUCCUCCUCAAACUUUAAAUUGGUGUCUGCCAAGCAGAAACACAUGUUCAUUAGUUUUAGUAGUAUAACACUUAGCUAAUGAAAGAAAACUUUAAUAAAUACCAAACACACUACUGAUCUUAAGAGUGAGAGAACACUAAACCAAAGGGAAACAUAAAUUUACCUUUUAAACCUUGUAGAUAGCUUUGUCUUUCAUGAAUUUGUGAUGAGGCUCCUCAAACAUGGUAUCUCAAGGUAUUCUCACACUGCAAAUAUUGAUCCCGUCAGCUCCUUGAACCUUUCUGAAGACUAAAAAGUUAACUAUCAUCAUAGGAUCUUUUGUUCAGACCUCCUUUGAACUUAUGAAAAUACUUGGGCCAAUUUUUGUCUGCAGUUUAUAAGUCAAGGACAAGAUUAAUCAGCACGGUUGACUUUCCCUAAGUGUACACAGUGCCAGAAAGAUAUACAGGAUUUUAAGAUUCAGCUAUCAAACUAACUAAACUUACAGAGAACCAUGGAGUUUAUUUAAUCUUCUUCUGGAACAAAAGCAGGAAUAUGGUCACAAUCGUUGGAUGAUUUUCUGUUCUGGAACAAAAAAAUGACAAAAUUAUCUGUCUAGUUACCAAAAUUAAUGAUAGAAAUCAACUGAGUGAUUCAGAGGAACAAAAGGCAGAAUAUCUAUAUCAAACGAGUUCCAUAUCUAGAAUACCUUUGUCUAGGUCGGUUGGUCUGACUUUAUAUUAAUCCAAGCAGAGUUAAAAUAUUUAUACCUUAUCUGAUUUGGAAUAGAAACUAUGACGUCGCAUCAAACUGUUGAACUUUGAAGGAAAAACACGGUAUUCAAACCUUGUGCCAGAGAUUCCAUGAGGCAGUUUAGAAGAAUGUUGCAAGUAAACCUUGUGUCAGGGUCUCACUCAAACCCUGACAAUUAAAACCAACAAAUAAAAUAUUAGAGAGAAUAAUGAUCAUAGAACUUGACCAGCGACAUUUAUUCCACAUAUGUCUUUCCAGUGAGUUAUUUGAUAACAGUUAUUCCACAUACACUAAAGAGAUAUUUUUUGUGGUAGCGACAUUAAUGACCACAAGGAAUUUUUCUUGACAGACGCUCAAUGAACUAUGUAAGCAAAAUGAACUAUGUAAGCAAAACACCUCUGUGACCUCCGUCACCGCCUCCAUAACAACCUUCCUCUCAGCGUCCACCACCACCGCCGCAUCCAAAUGAAUAGCCUCCGUUGUAUGCCUUUCGUAUCAACCAACGUAUACACCACCGCUUCAUCGUUCACGGUGAUGCUACUAAGGCCAUCGAGCAUUUUCCCAUCCAUCUAUUCAUUAACAUCCCUCACUGAUUUCUCAUCUUUGAAAAUCACGAAUCCUAGUCCCUUAAAAUUUCCCAGUCUCGCGUUCGUUAAUGAUCUGUCAAAUCAAACAAAUCGCAAAUCAGAAAAAACCAUCGGAGAAGAUAUUGAAAGCAAUAAGAUCACAAAAUCACUCCACCCAGACUCAUAAAAUUCAAGAAGAUUAACGAACCAAAUGGGAUAAAUUAAAGUAACAAAAAUCGAAUCAAGUAACAGAGAAACACAAAUCGGAAACAGAUUGAUCGGAAUCGGCUCGACUGAAUCUGGAAUUUGGGAGUCAGAGAUCGAUCGUGUAACUAACCUUAGAUAAUCGAUUAACCUAGCCGAACUCAGAGAACGCCCUUCCUGGAUCAUCAUCGCCGGUGACCCAAGCAACGCCGCCGCAAAAGCACCGGUUCUCAACUUCCGCAGACAUUUUUCGAAAAUGAGAAUUUGGGGUUUUCUAAAUAUGAGAGAUAGGCCUGCGAAUUUAAACCGAUCGGUUUAUUCGGUUUCGGUUAGUCGGUUUUCCGGUUUAAUCGGAAAAUGAAUUCUGUACCGAACUAACCGACUAACAAUUUCGGUUUGGUUCGGUUAUUUCACGGUUAUUUCGGUUUUUGCUUUUCGGUUUUUUCGGUUCAUAAUUGUUGGACUAAAAGCUAUUUUCUAUUUGGGCUUCCACAAAAUUGGUUUCUUGACCCAAAAAGAAAAAAAAAAAAAAAUUUGGGGUGGGAGAGAAAAAAGUGACGUAGUGAUGAAUCGAGGAGUGGAGUCGUUGAUCGGAGACACCGGCGGCGAGAUCUCAUGGGCGAAGAUUCCGGUAUAGAAGAAGAAAAAGAUGAUGUUGGUGUAAUCGAAGAAGAAAAUGAUGAAUCGAAGAAGAAGAUGAGGAAUCAAAGAAGAAUAAUGAGAUUAAUCAAGAGAAGAUGAUGAUGAAACGAAGACGAAGAAGAAGAUGAUGAGAUUAAUCGAAGAAGAAGAAGAUGAUGAAUAGCAGAAGAAGAGAGGGGAUCUAAGAGAAAGAUGAAGAAAAAGAAGAAUUGAAGAAGGGUUGUAGGCGGCUAGGAGUAUAUUAGGUUAGGGUUUUUAGGUUUUCGGUUAACCGUUCGGUUCGGGCGAACCGAACCGAAAAUCUCGGUUAACCGAACCAAAUUUAAAACCAUUCCGAUCGGUUAAACCUAAUUAACAGAAACCGAACCGAUUUGCCCAAACCUCGGUUCGGUUUGGUUCGGACAAAUCGGUUCGGUUCGAAUUCCCAGGCCUAAUGAGAGAUAUUAGCGAGAGAUUUGUAGUAGACGCAUUUCUUCUUUUAACGGCCUUUUAAUUUCAUUUGCUCUACGACUCCAAUUUUAAGUCGGUUAUAUAAGAAAAAUUCAAAUUUCAAAAGUUGAAAAGACCGCCCAUUUAGAAAAUGAAAACUCAAAUUCCAUUUUUGUUAACGUUACGUCGCAAUUGUGAUGUGCACAAAGUUUGGUUUAGUAAAGGCCUUCUCAUUAAUCCAGGAUUUUAAAAAAUUUGGUUAAGCAAAGACCAGAAAUCUUUUUGGUUAAAAGCUUAACCACGAUGUAACCACCGUGAUCAAUUUUAGAUUGGUUUGGUUUAAAAUGUGACCUUAGUCUAGUCUAGUUAUAAAACAGCGUGUCGUUCAAUCUCUUACUGCAAUAACAAAAACGACAAACAUUCCACGACUGCAUAUACGAAUCCAUAAGCAAUUUACAUAGAAACAUAUUUCAGAACUUUUUUCAUACAGUAGGACAAACAAAUAUUUGAAAAAUGAGAUUCUUUUAUAUAUAGAACAUUGAUUGAGCAUGAGGUAGUAUUUGGGUAUGCAACAUAAUCAGAAGAAAGGAACACCACAGAUUCUUGCUCAGCUCUCGAUGUUUCACGCAGUUUAUUGAAGCAGCCGAGCUAGAAACAACUUGGAGAAUGGAAUAGGAAUGUGGAUUACAUGACACGGACGAUUAGAGCCCAAACAGGGUAGACCAAAAGAAGGAUGAUCCCUAAAGUGUUUGACACUCCACGGGGCUGUGUGAAUGAAUUCCUGAACCCACCCGAUGCUCGGAUAUGUUCUUGAAGAAGGUAACAGCCAAUGAAAAGGCUGAUUACAGUGCCAAUCCAGGUUCCACGUAUAUGGUGAGCUAGGAAGUGUGGAGCAACUACCAGUAGAAGGAUUAGAGAACCCGGCAUCUCAAGCCAAUCUGCCCAUGUUGACAACCACAACAAUAAAAGUGUGAGACUUGAAAUUUAUUUCAGCAAUUACAGUGACUUGAAUUUAAGUAUGCCUCAAAGCGUACAUUUUACGAUACUCGAGACAUCUUCAGCGAUUGUAUGACAACAAUACAAAGAUACAAAUCAAGAAGGCCCACAACAAGAAAGAUAUGAAGAUGUCAUCACCUGGGAAAUGCUUAGGGAAGAAAAGUCUGAGUACAACUGCAACGAAAGCAAUCCAUUUCCCAACUUCUCCACUGAUAACAAAAAGGGAAAAUUUCACUUUAACCAGUUUUAAGAAUGCAUUGUGAAAUAGGAAGAUUUCUAUUGAUAACAAAAGAAAGAUUGUUGUUACCUGAGAAAGUUAAAAAUGACACUAGGAAGGCUAAGGAAGAUGUAUGGUAUUAAGAGUGAUGUAAGCAUCUUGGUUUUCCAAUUGGUACGAUCCAAUAUUAACAAGUAGCUGCAUCAAAAUACCAAAACAAAAACGUUAAGGAAACCAUGAAUGACCAGAACAGUUCUAUAAAUUGCAGCAGAAGUAACGCCCUUUUUCAUGUUUGUGGAUUGUGGUCACUGACCAAUUACAUAAGUUUAAAAAUUCAACCAAUCAGAGAUACUAGAUACAGUAGGAUUAUUGCAAAUGUCCACAAGUUAACAGAAAUAAACAGAAAUUAAGCCUAAAUUAAUCACUUUUAAAUUCUGCUAACAGUAGGAUUGAAUUUUCUUGGAUUACUGUGUCAAUAACAACAGAGUAAAAAUCAGUUGAUAAUGAUCAAUCAGAGAUUCACCUGCAUAAUCACUAAUAUCCGAUCUCGAAUUUUUUCGCAGUUUCAAUUGACCCCAAAAUCAGCUUCUACGAAUUCGACAUGUACGAAUCACAAAAAUUACCAAUUCGUCGAAUUAUAGAAGAACCCACAAGAAAAUCAAAACAAAUUGACGAGAAGCAAAAUUAGAGAUGGAGUUUUGAAAAACUCACAUGGCAGCGAAAGAAGCGAUGAAUUUGAGAAAAGAAACACCGAAGCCUAAUCCACCAAGCUUCGAAACAUCGCUAAAGAGUUUCUUUGCAGCGACCUUGAGCUCUUCCAUGUCGGAAUUGACUAACGCCGCCACCGUAUCGACGUCGUCGGUCUUCAUCGCUAGAUAAUCCACACGUCCCAUAAUUUCUUCUUUCCUCAGAGACUCGAAGCAAUUCGAUCUUCGUUCGAAGAUUUUGUUUUUCUUAUAAUUCUCUUCCAGCUGUAUCCAGAAUCUAGAUCGUCUUCUCACACUUCUGCUUUUCUUCCAAAUUGAGUUUUUUUUUUUUCCUCUUCAAUCGUUCCUGGUUUAUCGCCACAAACCGAUUGUGAUUAGUGACGUGUCGUUAUCUGAUUGAAUGUUGGAGUAUGGUCGAGAACAUUAAACCGCCACGUGGCAAAACAAUUAUUCGGUUGCGCGUUAUUUAAGCUGCGUGGAAUCAUCUUAAAAUUGUUUUGUUCUCUUAGACAACCUCAAUUAUUUCAGAUAAUCGGAAAAAAAUCAAAUAAAUAAUUUAACUAAAAAACAAAAAUCGGUGUUUAUAUUACAAGAUUAUUAUAAAAAUGUUUGAUUUUGUCCUACUACAAAUAAUGAUGUUGUUAAUUUCCAUCGGAAGAAUAUAAUUAAACUAUGUAAUACUAACAAUGAACAAUGUAGUUUUGUUUUACCAGAAAUUAAAACACACUACUCUACUUGCGCCACUUGAAAACAUCUUACAAAUUUACAUUCAUAAUUUGCAAGUCAUUAUACUUUAUGAAUAGCUAACCCAUACAUGGUGUAAACAGUAUAAAGUAUUGUGAACAAGUCAUGCGUUUACAGUUUCAUUCGAUCUAAAGAAUUAAUCAUUUCUUAAGAUAUAUAUAGAAGAAAGAAAAAAAUCAAGAAGCACAAGAUGAUUUUGAUUUGUGUACUAGCUAAGAAAACGUCGUGAUCUUCCAUCGACCAUCGUUGCCUCGUGCGAAUCACAAACCUGAGUCGUAAAUUUACAUCCGAACUUCUUACCGAUUGACCACUUACUCGAUCUGCCAAUCGUUCCCCUUCAAACUUUCUUUGUCGAUCUUAACGAUCACUUUCUUCAAGUACAAGCAUUCUUUCUCUAGCUGGUUCACUCGUGUCCUCAUCGAAUCCAGAUCCAAACGAAGCACCUGAUUCUCCUUCACCGUAUCCUUCCAUCUCCCCAAGUCCACCACGGUUUCAUCACCGUCUUCCUCCGUCAGUAACGUCCCGGUGAUUACUUGCCGGAGCUGUAAUUGCUCCAAAAACAGAACUUGUACGACGGCUCGUAGUGGUAAACGCUCGUUUUGUGCCGCGUGUAUGCAUCCUUCAACAGUUAGUUUUCGGCAAUCCAUUACACUACAUAUCUUCUCCUUGUCUGCCUCCGAUAUCCAUGUAUGCGUCUAUAAAACACAAAAAAUCAGAAUUCAAACAUCAGGUGCUGUGGUGUAGUGGUUAUCACGUUUGCCUUACACGCAAAAGGUCUCCAGUUCGAUCCUGGGCAGCACCAAAUUAUAUAACUUUUAAAAAUUUUAUAAGAGCAUCUCCAAU